GUGAUCUUCUCACCUCAGCUUCCCAAGUAGCUGGACUACAGCUCAUCAACACUACAAAUCUAAAGCUGAAAGCUCAGGGUACGGUAAUGACAGAUGGAAACUUCAUUACAGAAAGCAAUGAAGAACACCCAAGUGGUAAAUAUGUGGCUGGUCUUGGCUCAUUCCUGCUCCUCCCUGCUAGUAUCUCAAAGCCACCUUACAGGAAUGUAAAAGCCACACUACCCAAUUACUGCAACUCAAAGGAUAAAUGUCAACAUCUAUACAAAGUAUUGUCAGAAAGAGUGUGAAAAAAAGGUGUAGACCAGACCCAUGACUUGCUCCUAAACAACAGAAUAUGACAAAUGGAAUGGCACGUCACUCCCAUGAUUAUGUGAUGUUAUAUGACUGUGUCUUGCUAGCUGGCUGGCUCCACAGACGUUCUCUCUCCCUUGCUGGCUGUGAAGAAGCAAGCUGCCAGAACUCCUAAAGCCACAUGGAGCUCAUUGCUGCCAAAAGGAAUUGGGAAGCAAAUCCUUCCCUAGCUGAGCCUCCAGUUGAGAGCCAGUCCUGGCCAACACCUUGAAUGUAGCCUUGUAAGACCUUCUGAGGAGGACCAAGCUAUGCCGUAUCCAGAUGUGUGACCUGCAGAAACUCUGAGAGCCUUUGAUGGGAAUUCAGCCCAGCUGACACCUUGAUGUCCACCUUGUGAUACCUUGGGAAGAAUCCCUGCCCCACCAUGCUGAACUUUUGAUCUACAAAACUGUGAGCUAAUAAAUGGAUGUUGUUUUAAGCA
RNAcentral lists this long non-coding RNA (772 nucleotides) under Homo sapiens (human). Its description in RNAcentral is "HSALNT0356955". The record is from RNAcentral. Lineage: Eukaryota; Metazoa; Chordata; Mammalia; Primates; Hominidae.